GCAUUGCUGUAGAGUCUCAUACUAGGACGAAACGGCCGUUCAAUGC
This 46-nucleotide non-coding RNA is filed under the name Schistosoma mattheei. The record is from RNAcentral. Lineage: Eukaryota; Metazoa; Platyhelminthes; Trematoda; Strigeidida; Schistosomatidae.